Molecule: transfer RNA, 72 nt
Filed under: Canis lupus familiaris (dog)
Lineage: Eukaryota; Metazoa; Chordata; Mammalia; Carnivora; Canidae
Also listed under: 1 other name
Rfam family: tRNA
About the family: Transfer RNA (tRNA) molecules are approximately 80 nucleotides in length. Their secondary structure includes four short double-helical elements and three loops (D, anti-codon, and T loops). Further hydrogen bonds mediate the characteristic L-shaped molecular structure. tRNAs have two regions of fundamental functional importance: the anti-codon, which is responsible for specific mRNA codon recognition, and the 3' end, to which the tRNAs corresponding amino acid is attached (by aminoacyl-tRNA synthetases). tRNAs cope with the degeneracy of the genetic code in two manners: having more than one tRNA (with a specific anti-codon) for a particular amino acid; and 'wobble' base-pairing, i.e. permitting non-standard base-pairing at the 3rd anti-codon position.
Source: Rfam by way of RNAcentral
GCCUGGCUGGCUCAGUCGUAGAGCAUGCAACUCUUAAUUUCAGGGUUGUGAGUUCAAACCCAAUGUUGGGCA